RNAcentral lists this ribosomal RNA (468 nucleotides) under uncultured bacterium. RNAcentral's name for it is "partial 16S ribosomal RNA". It matches the Rfam family "Bacterial small subunit ribosomal RNA", at positions 28 to 507 of the family's 1533-position model. The record is from RNAcentral.
GACGAACGCUGGCGGCGUGCUUAACACAUGCAAGUCGAACGGAAAGGCCCUGCUUUUGUGGGGUGCUCGAUUGGCGAACGGGUGAGUAACACGUGAGUAACCUGCCCUUGACUUUGGGAUAACUUCAGGAAACUGGGGCUAAUACCGGAUAGGAGCUCCUGCUGCAUGUUGUGGGUUGGAAAGUUUCGGCGGUUGGGGCUGGACUCGCGGCUUAUCAGCUUGUUGGUGGGGUAGUGGCUUACCAAGGCUUUGACGGGUAGCCGGCCUGAGAGGGUGAACGGCCACAUUGGGACUGAGAUACGGCCCAGACUCGUAUGGGAGGCAGCAGUGGGGAAUAUUGCGGAAUGGGCGGAAGCCUGAUGCAGAAACGCCGCGUGCGGGAUGCCGGCCUUCGGGUGGUAAACAGCUUUCGCCGGUGACGAAGCGUGAGUGACGGUAAUGGGUAAAGAAGCACCGGCUAACUACGUG